This is a long non-coding RNA of Brassica napus (rape), 556 nucleotides long. RefSeq lists it as uncharacterized. The transcript has 2 exons. Lineage: Eukaryota; Viridiplantae; Streptophyta; Magnoliopsida; Brassicales; Brassicaceae. The record is from RefSeq and is a predicted model, not a curated record.
AUGGUUUGAGAGAGACAAAUGAAAUAACGUUGUGCGAGUAAAUACUAUAAUACAAUGCCGACCAAAUUAUUCUCAUUAGAAUGCAAAAUAUAAGAAGUAUAUUGUGUGGUAAAAUCAUAGAUCUAUUUCACCCUUUCUCUUCUCCUUUCUAAAACAAUUUCAUUGUUUACACUUUUCAUCUUGAUCCUGACAUCCAGUAUUUUAUAGGCGUCCUGCACUUUGCCCACAUUGGAAAUGAUUUCCAUCGAGUUUAUUGUCUUUUAUUAACUAUGUCUCGUUUUCAUCCAUAAUUGAUGGGUCUUCAGACGACUCUCCGGUGCUUUCUCACAGUGGUUGUCAGAUAAAUGCUCAUGUCCGAAUCACUGAAGAGUACGAUGAAAAGGUAAAAAGUCUCGUUUACAUCCAUAGUGCCUCUCAAACCUUCUCUGUUUAUGUAUAGGAACUUAUAAUAAAAAUGUGCUUGAAUGUAAUUUAUCUUAAGUUGCCAUUUAUUUGGUCAUGCGACGUGAGAUCAUGCUUUAUAUAUAUUUCAUUAAGAAAAUUCAUGAUUGAAUUA